ACAUAAAUAGAUUUUUAUAAAUCUUAAGCUACCAUAAAUGAGAGGCAGUUACAAUCGGAAUGUAGGUUCAUCUUCAAAGCCAGCUCUUGCCAUACACAGCAAUAUCAGUUUCAAACUCUGCACGCAAGGUGCAGAAGCGUAGUAUGAGUACAACCAACCCCACAGACUAAAUAACUAACAAAUCUAAUCUUAGGUUGAAAGCAGUGAUAAACUUGGACAACGGACAGAGUCCAACACCAAUAGCCAACAACAAUUCAUAACAAUAUAAUAAAGGCCAAAUACAUAGAUAGCCUCUUAAACUUGGCUUCAAAUUCCAUUUAAACACUUUAACAAAGAACUUAUACUUAUUAGACACUUCAACUCUUACCAAAAUAUACCUAUUGAACACUUCCUGCUUAUGUGGCACAAAAAGUGAAUCUCACUUAGAGUGAGGCGUGUAAAGCUAAAAUAUACUAUAAUUCGUUUUUCUUUCUUCCUAUUUCUUCUUCACAUAACUCCCUCCCACAGUCCCACCAUGAUCAUAUUCUUCCACUAUAGAAAUGUUCAUCCAUAGCCAUAUACCUCAUAUAAUUAACCAAAAACAAAAAAACAAAAUUCAAAACAAAAAGAAAAGAAAAAAGCUUGAAAAUCUCAGCUUCGGAAAAAAGACGAACAAAUAAAACAAGUUGAAAGGAGAUAAAUUAGAAACGAUGGAACAAAAACCCAGUUGAUAGCAAUUGAAAAAUGAGAAAAAGGUUAGAGAGAAAAAGACAACUUAUCCAGAAUAAUAAUAGUAAGGAUUAAAGAAAAGCAGGCGAAAUUUUUAAAGCUUUUUUACACCGACUACCGGCGGCGAUAUCGCACUGCCGUUGUUUCAUCGUUGAAGACCCACCACGCCUUUGAACCUCUUCAAAUUCAAAACCACAAGAGUCAUUAAAAACAUGGGCAUAAAAAUUAGAGAAGGAAGCAACAUCACCAGAAAUAUUUUGGCCGGAAGUGUGAGUACUUACCGGAACAUUCUCUGGCAUUCUUCCCUCUUUCAUAUUGUCUCCUUCUUUCUUUUUAAAGUACUUCUCUAAGAAUCAUUAAACUCCAAAAUCAAAAAAGCGUAGUAGCAAAUAUCCUUGAUAGCCAGAAAACUUUCCGCCAAGUCGUGGCGGAAAUAUUUUAAGGGAACUUCCCCCCAAGAACGUGAAGAAGAG
This 1181-nucleotide long non-coding RNA is filed under the name Nicotiana tabacum (common tobacco). Its description in RNAcentral is "long non-coding RNA (NTAB_LNC008964)". The record is from RNAcentral. Lineage: Eukaryota; Viridiplantae; Streptophyta; Magnoliopsida; Solanales; Solanaceae.